Molecule: ribosomal RNA, 468 nt
Filed under: uncultured bacterium
Lineage: Bacteria
Description: partial 16S ribosomal RNA
Rfam family: Bacterial small subunit ribosomal RNA
Source: RNAcentral
GACGAACGCUGGCGGCGUGCUUAACACAUGCAAGUCGAACGGAAAGGCCCUGCUUUUGUGGGGGGCUCGAGUGGCGAACGGGUGAGUAACACGUGAGUAACCUGCCCUUGACUUUGGGAUAACUUCAGGAAACUGGGGCUAAUACCGGAUAGGAGCUCCUGCUGCAGGGGGGGGGUUGGAAAGUUUCGGCGGUUGGGGAGGGACUCGCGGCUUAUCAGCUUGUUGGUGGGGUAGUGGCUUACCAAGGCUUUGACGGGUAGCCGGCCUGAGAGGGUGACCGGCCACAUUGGGACUGAGAUACGGCCCAGACUCCUACGGGAGGCAGCAGUGGGGAAUAUUGCACAAUGGGCGGAAGCCUGAUGCAGCAACGCCGCGUGCGGGAUGACGGCCUUCGGGUUGUAAACCGCUUUCGCCUGUGACGAAGCGUGAGUGACGGUAAUGGGUAAAGAAGCACCGGCUAACUACGUG